This 572-nucleotide ribosomal RNA is filed under the name uncultured bacterium. Its description in RNAcentral is "bacterial SSU rRNA". It matches the Rfam family "Bacterial small subunit ribosomal RNA", at positions 102 to 674 of the family's 1533-position model. The record is from RNAcentral.
ACGGGUGAGUAACACGUGAGAAUCUACCCUUUAGUGAGGAAUACCUUCGGGAAACUGAAGAUAAUACUGCAUACGCCCUGCGGGGGAAAGGUGGCUUUUAUGCUGCCGCUAAAGGAUGAGCUUGCGGACUAUUAGCUAGUUGGUAGGGUAAUGGCCUACCAAGGCGAUGAUGGUUAGCCGGCCUGAGAGGGUGAACGGCCACAUUGGAACUGAGAAACGGUCCAGACUCCUACGGGAGGCAGCAGUGGGGAAUAUUGCACAAUGGGCGAAAGCCUGACGCAGCAAUGCCGCGUGGAGGAUGAAGGUUUUCGGACUGUAAACUCCUGUUAAGUGUGAAGAAAAGCCCACUGGUAAUAUAAGUGGGAAAUGACGGUAGCACUAGAGAAAGCACUGGCUAAUUUCGUGCCAGCAGCCGCGGUAAUACGAGGAGUGCAAGCGUUAUUCGGAAUUAUUGGGCGUAAAGGGUGUGUAGACGGCGUAUUAAGUCUAUUGUUUAAUUCUUCGGCUUAACCGAAGGUCAGCGAUGGAAACUGGUAUGCUAGAGGGUGAGAGAGAGGAGUGGAAUUUCCGGA